GGCCUCGUGCAUGUGCACGUCCUUGGUUCGGCCGUCCGAGGAAAAAGGGGGGGGAGGGUUUGAUCUUCUUUGACACCUGUGUGCACUCGCUGUAGGUCCUUCGGGAUCUACGUCUUCUUUGGAACUCGCAUGUCUACAGAACGUGUCGCUCGCGUCGCAUCGCCGACCGAGAAAAGGCUAUGAUACAACUUUCAGCGACGGAUCUCUUGGCUCUCGCAUCGAUGAAGGACGCAGCGAAUCGCGAUAAGUAAUGUGAAUUGCAGAUUUUCCGUGAAUCAUCGAAUCUUUGAACGCACCUUGCGCUCCUCGGUAUUCCGAGGAGCAUGCCUGUUUGAGUGUCAUCGAAACCUCGGAUCUUGGGACUUUUGACCCUCGUCGAAAGGCUCUGUCCGGACAGAUGGGAGCUUCUGCGGGCGAAGCUUCGUGCUUUGCCUGCUCUCCUCAAAAGCAUUUAGCUGUGGGCAACGAGACCUUGCAUGGCAAGUCGGCCUCCUCGACGUCGUAACGAUCGUCGUGGGCCGGAAGGCGUGCGGGGGUCCAUGCCUUACCUAGGGUUGUGCAGCCGUCCGUAGGGACGGUCGCACCCGAUCGAAGCUUGACCUCAAAUCANGUAGGACUACCCGCC
RNAcentral lists this ribosomal RNA (625 nucleotides) under uncultured Scleroderma. RNAcentral's name for it is "eukaryotic LSU rRNA". The stretch from base 187 to 341 matches the Rfam family "5.8S ribosomal RNA". The record is from RNAcentral. Lineage: Eukaryota; Fungi; Basidiomycota; Agaricomycetes; Boletales; Sclerodermataceae.